GUCCACGCCCUAAACGAUGUCUACUAGUUGUCGGGUUUUAAUUAACUUGGUAACGCAGCUAACGCGUGAAGUAGACCGCCUGGGGAGUACGGUCGCAAGAUUAAAACUCAAAGGAAUUGACGGGGACCCGCACAAGCGGUGGAUGAUGUGGAUUAAUUCGAUGCAACGCGAAAAACCUUACCUACCCUUGACAUGGACGGAAGCCCGGAGAGAUUUGGGCGUGCUCGAAAGAGAGCCGUCACACAGGUGCUGCAUGGCU
RNAcentral lists this ribosomal RNA (259 nucleotides) under uncultured bacterium. Its description in RNAcentral is "partial 16S ribosomal RNA". It matches the Rfam family "Bacterial small subunit ribosomal RNA", at positions 793 to 1050 of the family's 1533-position model. The record is from RNAcentral.